AUACGGAGGGUGCAAGCGUUAUUCGGAAUCACUGGGCGUAAAGGACGCGUAGGCGGGUUGGCAAGUCAGAUGUGAAAUCCUACAGCUUAACUGUAGAACUGCAUUUGAAACUGCUAACCUAGAGUAUGGGAGGGGGAGAUGGAAUUAGUGGUGCAGGGGUAAAAUCCGUAGAUAUCACUAGGAAUACCGAAAGCGAAGGCGAUCUCCUGGAACAUAACUGACGCUAAGGCGUGAAAGCGUGGGGAGCAAACAGGAUUAGAAACCCCAGUAGUCC
RNAcentral lists this ribosomal RNA (274 nucleotides) under uncultured bacterium. RNAcentral's name for it is "partial 16S ribosomal RNA". It matches the Rfam family "Bacterial small subunit ribosomal RNA", at positions 523 to 796 of the family's 1533-position model. The record is from RNAcentral.